GAUGAACGCUGGCGGCGUGCCUAAUACAUGCAAGUCGAGCGAACAGACGAGGAGCUUGCUCCUCUGACGUUAGCGGCGGAAGUGUGAGUAAAACGUGGAUAACCUACCUAUAAGACUGGGAUAACUUCGGGAAACCGGAGCUAAUACCGGAUAAUAUAUUGAACCGCAUGGUUCAAUAGUGAAAGACGGUUUUGCUGUCACUUAUAGAUGGAUCCGCGCCGCCUUAGCUAGUUGGUAAGGUAACGGCUUACCAAGGCCACGAUGCGUAGCCGACCUGAGAGGGUGAUCGGCCACACGGGAACGGAGACACGGUCCAGACUCCGAAGGGAGGCAGCAGUAGGGAAUCUACCGCAAGGGGCGAAAGCCUGACGGAGGAACGCCGCGAGAGUGAGGAAGGUCUUCGGAUCGUAAAACUCGGUUAUUAGGGAAGAACAAAUGUGUAAGUAACGAUGCACGUCUUGACGGUACCUAAUCAGAAAGGCACGGCUAACUACGUG
RNAcentral lists this ribosomal RNA (497 nucleotides) under uncultured bacterium. RNAcentral's name for it is "partial 16S ribosomal RNA". It matches the Rfam family "Bacterial small subunit ribosomal RNA", at positions 28 to 507 of the family's 1533-position model. The record is from RNAcentral.